This 1869-nucleotide long non-coding RNA is filed under the name Volvox carteri. RNAcentral describes it as "long non-coding RNA (VCAR_LNC001596)". The record is from RNAcentral. Lineage: Eukaryota; Viridiplantae; Chlorophyta; Chlorophyceae; Chlamydomonadales; Volvocaceae.
AUUGCACGAAAAUCACGUCAAAAUGCAGCCAUUAUAGUCUGGGAAGACUCUAUGCCUGUAAAACCUAAAGUCGGCUAGGCGCAUGUGUGUGCGUGUGUGUGGUGUUGCUACAGUGGCCUCCAGACUGACGAAGAGUAGAGCCAGCGGACCAGCUGGACGCACACUGCACUUGAAACGAACGUAUGACAAAGUAGUCUCCCACCCAAAUGAGACAGCGCAAGUCAUCUAGACAGCCAAAAGCGCAACCAAAGGGAAGGCCAGAGGCCCGUUCCAACCGUACAAGUUCAUUCCUCCAGCCAAAAAUGGACUGUCCAUGCCAAAGCCGCUAGAAUCUUACAGGAGACAUAUAUGUUACCCAUAUCAUAGUACUUUACUGCCAUGGAUACUGUUAGGAAGCUCACGCCCGAAAGUCAACGAGGAAUCGGACUGUUUCUGACCGGACCAAACGCUGCAAAACAUUCGGAACCGAAGCUCCCAAAGCAUUGAAGGCCAUUAAAGCAGAUACUAAAUUUCACUGAAGCCAUUAGCGACGUUAAUGAAGACGGUGUAGGGGUCGUAGGCAAUGUGGACGCAAUGCUGCAGCCAGCCGACGACAAUGACGCCACUCCGGUUGUCAACAGCGAGCGGGCCAAACAUCAAUGUUCCUCAUAUGGAUACAAUCGCGAUGGGCCAGGAAACAGGUUGCGUUUGGUGGUUCCGGUUCAUUGCUGCUAUGCAUCAUUACUUCUGCAACCUGGAAAGUCGUGUAGUGUUAUCUUUCAACGUGAUGCAAGACGAACGAAUGUGAACGAACUCUAUUCGAUCAGCGCUUGAGAGAUUGGUGUGCGCGUGUUGCGACAUUCCCAAACCCGGCGAUUGCACGAACUAAACUGUAACUCAUCGGGGGGGGUCUGGGGGGCCGGAGGGACCCCCAGCGCCUUACAGAUUCGGAAUACCUUUAUUCCCGCGACUAAAAACCUAUUCCUCCGUUCGGACUGGAAAAUUAACCGGCAGAAAUGAAAAAAAAACACUGCUCAUGAUGUGAUGAUUAUCCGUCACGAUGCGAUUGUUUGCUUCUAUCUCUGAUAUCCGUUGUCUGAUAGUGUUUAAUUUCGACUUGCACAUACAUGCCUUUCCUGUCGAACCCACAUAGACACACACACACAGACAGACAGUCACAGAUCGAUAAGCACACAGAUAGAUCUGUACACCCUUGUACGCCCUUGUCUUGUCCACAUGCACGCUUCCACCACGCGAUGGACUUAUUCAUUCCCUUGCCGCAGUGCGACUUGAUCGCCUUGAUCUGUGUGCGUACGCUUUUCUAUUUGUUAUUAAUCGCUGCUGCUUUUAUUGAUUUCCCCUUUACGUUGGUUCCCUUUUGGUGCGCAUCAGUGGCGGUAGAAGCGGGUUGUUUUAGUUAGGUACGGCAACCGAUGAUUGGGAUGCAUGGACGUCUGUAAAUGGUUUAGGGACCGCCGUCCGUACUGUACGACUACGGACCUAAACCUCACAUUCCAGGGCAGGAUCUAUCUAGAGACGGUAAAACAUUUUGGCGGCUCUACAGACGGCUUUUGCAAGAUAGAAGACAGCCGGCACGCGCAUGAUGGCCACCGCGGGCCGCACUGCAGCUGCCUGACAAGUGGAUUCCGGGUAGUGAUUAACUGAUCAUCCGGGGGGGGCGUAUUCUGCGGGGGGUAAUCCGGUCGCAUUUGGGUUUUUAUUCACUGUGUUGUUUGCUGUGAUUCCGACCUGCAGGUCGGCAGCUGCUCCCUGCCCUGCAUUGCACUUCACUGCACGUUGACCGUUGCACGUGCAAGAAGGCGUUGGCAGCGGACGCACGUGCGUCCGUGCACGGACUGUAACUUUCGGGUGCAUAGGUUCCAUCGUGGA